UACAUGUGGGGCAAGCGUUGUUCGGAAUUACUGGGCAUAAAGGGUGCGUAGGCGGCUUGUUAAGUCAGGGGUGAAAGUUUUCGGCCCAACCGGAAAAUGGCCUCUGAUACUGGCGAGCUCGAGUGCGUGAGGGGUGACUGGAACGAGCAGUGUAGCGGUGAAAUGCGUAGAUAUUGCUCGGAAGGCCAACGGCGAAGGCAGGUCACUGGUACGCAACUGACGCUGAGGCACGAAAGCGUGGGGAGCAAACAGG
RNAcentral lists this ribosomal RNA (253 nucleotides) under uncultured bacterium. Its description in RNAcentral is "partial 16S ribosomal RNA". It matches the Rfam family "Bacterial small subunit ribosomal RNA", at positions 524 to 776 of the family's 1533-position model. The record is from RNAcentral.